ACUCCUACGGGAGGCAGCAGUGGGGAAUAUUGCACAAUGGGCGCAAGCCUGAUGCAGCCAUGCCGCGUGUAUGAAGAAGGCCUUCGGGUUGUAAAGUACUUUCAGCGAGGAGGAAGGCAUUGUGGUUAAUAACCGCAGUGAUUGACGUAC
RNAcentral lists this ribosomal RNA (150 nucleotides) under uncultured bacterium. Its description in RNAcentral is "partial 16S ribosomal RNA". It matches the Rfam family "Bacterial small subunit ribosomal RNA", at positions 335 to 478 of the family's 1533-position model. The record is from RNAcentral.